AGUUUGAUCCUGGCUCAGGAUGAACGCUGGCGGCGUGCCUAAUACAUGCAAGUCGAACGAAUCUCUUUUAGAGAUGAGUGGCGAACGGGUGAGUAAUACAUAGGUAACCUGCCCCUGUGCGGGGGAUAACAGGAGGAAACUCCUGCUAAUACCGCAUAGCCAUGAGCACCGCAUGGAGCUCAUGCCAAAUAUCCUUUCGGGGAUAGCGCAGGGAUGGACCUAUGGCGCAUUAGCUUGUUGGCGGGGCAACGGCCCACCAAGGCAACGAUGCGUAGCCGGCCUGAGAGGGCGGACGGCCACAUUGGGACUGAGACACGGCCCAGACUCCUACGGGAGGCAGCAGUAGGGAAUUUUCGGCAAUGGGGGAAACCCUGACCGAGCAACGCCGCGUGAGCGAAGAAGGCCUUCGGGUCGUAAAGCUCUGUUGUAAAGGAAGAACGGCGCAUACAGGAAAUGGUAUGCGAGUGACGGUACUUUACCAGAAAGCCACGGCUAACUACGUGCCAGCAGCCGCGGUAAUACGUAGGUGGCGAGCGUUAUCCGGAAUCAUUGGGCGUAAAGAGGGAGCAGGCGGCCGCAAGGGUCUGUGGUGAAAGACCGAAGCUAAACUUCGGUAAGCCAUGGAAACCGGGCGGCUAGAGUGCGGAAGAGGAUCGUGGAAUUCCAUGUGUAGCGGUGAAAUGCGUAGAUAUAUGGAGGAACACCAGUGGCGAAGGCGACGGUCUGGGCCGCAACUGACGCUCAUUCCCGAAAGCGUGGGGAGCAAAUAGGAUUAGAUACCCUAGUAGUCCACGCCGUAAACGAUGGUCACUAAGUGUCGGGGGUCAAACCCCGGUGCUGCAGUCAACGCAAUAAGUGACCCGCCUGAGUAGUACGUUCGCAAGAAUGAAACUCAAAGGAA
RNAcentral lists this ribosomal RNA (901 nucleotides) under uncultured bacterium. RNAcentral's name for it is "bacterial SSU rRNA". It matches the Rfam family "Bacterial small subunit ribosomal RNA", at positions 10 to 909 of the family's 1533-position model. The record is from RNAcentral.